GGGAGCCCUUCGGGGUGACUGCGUACCUUUUGUAUAAUGGGUCAGCGACUUAUUGUCUGUAGCAAGCUUAACCGUUUAGGGGAGGCGUAGGGAAACCGAGUCUUAAUAGGGCGUUUAGUUGCAGGCAAUAGACCCGAAACCGGGCGAUCUAUCCAUGGGCAGGUUGAAGGUUAGGUAACACUGACUGGAGGACCGAACCCACUAACGUUGAAAAGUUAGGGGAUGACUUGUGGAUCGGAGUGAAAGGCUAAUCAAGCCCGGAGAUAGCUGGUUCUCCUCGAAAUC
Molecule: non-coding RNA, 285 nt
Filed under: Halioglobus sp. HI00S01
Lineage: Bacteria; Pseudomonadati; Pseudomonadota; Gammaproteobacteria; Cellvibrionales; Halieaceae
Description: Bacterial large subunit ribosomal RNA
Rfam family: Bacterial large subunit ribosomal RNA
Source: Rfam by way of RNAcentral